UUAAAGGGCUGCAGUAUAUUGACUGUACAAAGGUAGCAUAAUAAUUAGUCUUUUAAUUGAAGACUUGUAUGAAAGAUUUGAUGAAAUAUAAACUGUCUCUUUUUUAAAGUUAAAAUUUAAUUUUUUAGUAAAAAAGCUAAAAUUAAUUUAAAAGACGAGAAGACCCUAUAGAGUUUUAUAAUUAAAUUAAUUAAAAAUUUAUUUUUAAUUUUAAAAAUAAUUAGUUUAAUUAUUUUAUUGGGGUGAUAAAAAAAUUUAAAUAACUUUUUUUUUAUUUAAACAUUAAUUAAUGAAUAAUUGAUCCAUAAUUUAUGAUUAUAAGAAAAAAUUACCUUAGGGAUAACAGCGUAAUUUUUUUUUUUAGUUCUUAUAAAAAAAAAAGUUU
This 385-nucleotide ribosomal RNA is filed under the name Pelopidas agna. RNAcentral's name for it is "partial 16S ribosomal RNA". The record is from RNAcentral. Lineage: Eukaryota; Metazoa; Arthropoda; Insecta; Lepidoptera; Hesperiidae.